UAGGCGGCAUGAUCGGUCGACUGAAGGGAACAGCCCAGCGCCGAAUCCGGCAGCGUCUCGCUGUAUGGACCUGUGGCGUUUAGGCAAGCCUUUCCGGCGAAUCGGUGUUUUGCAGUCCAAGUCCCCUUGAGCGGGGCCACAGCCCAUAGAGGGUGCAAGGCCCAUAGGAUUGCUCGGUUUGUCGGUUGGAGCUGCCUUGGAGUCGGGUUGCUUGAGAGUGCAGCCCAAAGCUGGUGGUAAACCCCAUCUAAGGCUAAAUAUUACCACGAGAUCGAUAGCGAACAAGUACCGUGAGGGAAAGUUGCAAAGAACUUUGAAGAGAGAGUUCAACAGGGCGUGAAACCGCUUAGAAGUAAACGGGUGGUGCUGACAUUGCGUCUGGCGGAUUCAGCCGGCUUGACGGUGGAUUGCUUGCGUGUCGAUCAGCUAACGACGAUGCGUGGGUAGCUUCAUUCUGCCUAAAGUUGGUGCACUUUCGCUUGACUGCGUCACGACCGAUGAGCUGUUCCGGCAAAAGGCUGGCUAGUUGCCGACUAUGGGUUUCGGCCUGUAGUGCCCCACUGGUCAAGUCAGUCAACCUGGUUUCGCUCAUCGGGUAUAAGCCGCACCCGCCUCAUGGCUCAGUGUCGGCGUAGUUUUUGUGCUGGUCGAACUGUGGGAGUCUGCAUGCAGGCUUCUGCGAUCCCCGGUGCUUAUAGCUGCGUGAUCUGAGUUGGUGCAUAUGGUCAGUGGCGUCCGCGUCAGUUUCCCACCCGACCCGUCUUGAAACACGGACCAAGGAGUCUAACAUGUGCGCAAGUCAUGGGGUUGUUAAACCCAAAGGCGUAAUGAAAGUAAAGGCUGGCUCGUUCAGCCGAGGUGUGAUCCUUGCUUAUGGCUUGGCGCAACACUGCCCAAUCGCAUCGGCUUGCCCGGGCGGUUGCGGAAGAGCGUACACGUUGGGACCCGAAAGAUGGUGAACUAUGCCUGAGCAGAAUGAAGCCAGAGGAAACUCUGGUGGAGGUUCGUAGCGGUUCUGACGUGCAAAUCGAUCGUCAGAUCUUGGGUAUAGGGACGACAGAGCUUUAGUCC
This 1071-nucleotide ribosomal RNA is filed under the name Tripylella sp. 1 HMM2018. RNAcentral describes it as "eukaryotic LSU rRNA". It matches the Rfam family "Eukaryotic large subunit ribosomal RNA", at positions 84 to 937 of the family's 3401-position model. The record is from RNAcentral. Lineage: Eukaryota; Metazoa; Nematoda; Enoplea; Triplonchida; Tripylidae.